This 466-nucleotide ribosomal RNA is filed under the name uncultured bacterium. Its description in RNAcentral is "partial 16S ribosomal RNA". It matches the Rfam family "Bacterial small subunit ribosomal RNA", at positions 28 to 507 of the family's 1533-position model. The record is from RNAcentral.
GACGAACGCUGGCGGCGUGCUUAACACAUGCAAGUCGAACGAUAAGGCCCUGCUUGCUUGGGGGGUUAGAGGCGCAAGCGUGUGUAACACGCGAGUAUCCUGCCCUUUACUCUGUGGUAUGCCUGGGAGACAGGGGCUAUUAUCGGAGAGAGGCGUCCACCGCACGUUGUGUGGUUGGGAAAUUUAGCGGUGUUGGGUGGACUCGCGGCUUAUCAGCUUGUUGGUGGGGUAAUGGCUCACCAAGGCGCUGACGGGUAGCCGGCCUGAGAGGGUGACCGGCCACAUUGGGACUGAGAUACGGCCCAGACUCCUACGGGAGGCAGCAGUGGGGAAUAUUGCACAAUGGGCGGAAGCCUGAUGCAGCGACGCCGCGUGCGGGAUGACGGCCUUCGGGUUGUAAACCGCUUUCAGCAGUGAAGAAGCGAGAGUGACGGUACUUGGUGAAGAAGCACCGGCUAACUACGUG